GGGACAAUGGUGUAGCGGUAUCAUACUUGCUUUGGGUGCAAGUGGUCCUGGGUUCAAAUCCCAGUUGUCCCC
Molecule: transfer RNA, 72 nt
Filed under: Lichtheimia ramosa
Lineage: Eukaryota; Fungi; Mucoromycota; Mucoromycetes; Mucorales; Lichtheimiaceae
Also listed under: 3 other names
Description: tRNA-Pro (TGG) (tRNA-Pro-TGG-1-1)
Rfam family: tRNA
About the family: Transfer RNA (tRNA) molecules are approximately 80 nucleotides in length.
Source: RNAcentral